This 22-nucleotide ribosomal RNA is filed under the name Tetranychus urticae (two-spotted spider mite). RNAcentral's name for it is "partial 28S ribosomal RNA". The record is from RNAcentral. RNAcentral also lists the same sequence under 13 other names. Lineage: Eukaryota; Metazoa; Arthropoda; Arachnida; Trombidiformes; Tetranychidae.
GAUCUCAGAUCAGGUGAGGUUA